RNAcentral lists this ribosomal RNA (443 nucleotides) under uncultured bacterium. Its description in RNAcentral is "partial 16S ribosomal RNA". It matches the Rfam family "Bacterial small subunit ribosomal RNA", at positions 338 to 795 of the family's 1533-position model. The record is from RNAcentral.
CCUACGGGUGGCAGCAGUGAGGAAUAUUGGUCAAUGGGAGAGAUCCUGAACCAGCCAAGCCGCGUGAAGGCAGAAGGCUUUCGGGUUGUACACUUCUUUUCUGAGGGACGAAGAAAGUGACGGUACCUCCGGAAUAAGCCUCGGCUAACUACGUGCCAGCAGCCGCGGUAAUACGUAGGUGGCGAGCGUUAUCCGGAUUUAUUGGGUGUAAAGGGCGUGUAGGCGGGAAAGCAAGUCAGAUGUGAAAGCUCAGGGCUCAACCCUGAGCCUGCAUUUGAAACUGGUUUUCUUGAGUGCUGGAGAGGCAAUCGGAAUUCCGUGUGUAGCGGUGAAAUGCGUAGAUAUACGGAGGAACACCAGUGGCGAAGGCGGAUUGCUGGACAGUAACUGACGCUGAGGCGCGAAAGCGUGGGGAGCAAACAGGAUUAGAUACCCCUGUAGUC